GGUGUUGUAGCUCAGUGAUAGAGCACCUGCCCAGCACAUGUGAGGCACUGGGUUCAAUCCUCAGCACCACUU
RNAcentral lists this transfer RNA (72 nucleotides) under Urocitellus parryii (Arctic ground squirrel). RNAcentral describes it as "Spermophilus parryii (Arctic ground squirrel) tRNA". It matches the Rfam family "tRNA". From Rfam's summary of the family: Transfer RNA (tRNA) molecules are approximately 80 nucleotides in length. Their secondary structure includes four short double-helical elements and three loops (D, anti-codon, and T loops). Further hydrogen bonds mediate the characteristic L-shaped molecular structure. tRNAs have two regions of fundamental functional importance: the anti-codon, which is responsible for specific mRNA codon recognition, and the 3' end, to which the tRNAs corresponding amino acid is attached (by aminoacyl-tRNA synthetases). tRNAs cope with the degeneracy of the genetic code in two manners: having more than one tRNA (with a specific anti-codon) for a particular amino acid; and 'wobble' base-pairing, i.e. permitting non-standard base-pairing at the 3rd anti-codon position. Lineage: Eukaryota; Metazoa; Chordata; Mammalia; Rodentia; Sciuridae. RNAcentral also lists the same sequence under 1 other name. The record is from Rfam by way of RNAcentral.